This 130-nucleotide ribosomal RNA is filed under the name Microula pseudotrichocarpa. RNAcentral's name for it is "5.8S ribosomal RNA". The stretch from base 1 to 89 matches the Rfam family "5.8S ribosomal RNA", at positions 68 to 154 of the family's 154-position model. From Rfam's summary of the family: 5.8S ribosomal RNA (5.8S rRNA) is a component of the large subunit of the eukaryotic ribosome. Lineage: Eukaryota; Viridiplantae; Streptophyta; Magnoliopsida; Boraginales; Boraginaceae. The record is from RNAcentral.
UGAAUUGCAGAAUCCCGUGAACCAUCGAGUCUUUGAACGCAAGUUGCGCCUGAAGCCAUUAGGCUAAGGGCACGUCUGCCUGGGCGUCACGCAUCGCGUCACCCCUCCCCCAAUUCUGGCGGGCGGGGUG